RNAcentral lists this long non-coding RNA (206 nucleotides) under Volvox carteri. Its description in RNAcentral is "long non-coding RNA (VCAR_LNC001451)". Lineage: Eukaryota; Viridiplantae; Chlorophyta; Chlorophyceae; Chlamydomonadales; Volvocaceae. The record is from RNAcentral.
AACUUUAUAAUCUUCUUAUGUAUAGUGCGACGCAAUGCACAAUGCACACGCCGAUGCAAGCGGUUGCCGCCAGCGAAUGCAUGAAAAGUAAACAAAGCUAAACCUAGCAGGCAGCAAGUCAAUUAGAUUUAGGAGCAGAUUUAUCUGGCGGAUUGGGGCCUGACUUGGACCACACAGCCACCUCUGUGUGUGUGUGUAUGUGUGUG